RNAcentral lists this ribosomal RNA (1018 nucleotides) under uncultured organism. Its description in RNAcentral is "bacterial SSU rRNA". It matches the Rfam family "Bacterial small subunit ribosomal RNA", at positions 356 to 1376 of the family's 1533-position model. The record is from RNAcentral.
GAGGAAUAUUGGUCAAUGGACGCAAGUCUGAACCAGCCAUGCCGCGUGCAGGAUGACGGCUCUAUGAGUUGUAAACUGCUUUUGUACGAGGGUAAACGCAGAUACGUGUAUCUGUCUGAAAGUAUCGUACGAAUAAGGAUCGGCUAACUCCGUGCCAGCAGCCGCGGUAAUACGGAGGAUUCAAGCGUUAUCCGGAUUUAUUGGGUUUAAAGGGUGCGUAGGCGGUUUGAUAAGUUAGAGGUGAAAUUUCGGGGCUCAACCCUGAACGUGCCUCUAAUACUGUUGAGCUAGAGAGUAGUUGCGGUAGGCGGAAUGUAUGGUGUAGCGGUGAAAUGCUUAGAGAUCAUACAGAACACCGAUUGCGAAGGCAGCUUACCAAACUAUAUCUGACGUUGAGGCACGAAAGCGUGGGGAGCAAACAGGAUUAGAUACCCUGGUAGUCCACGCAGUAAACGAUGAUAACUCGUUGUCGGCGAUACACAGUCGGUGACUAAGCGAAAGCGAUAAGUUAUCCACCUGGGGAGUACGUUCGCAAGAAUGAAACUCAAAGGAAUUGACGGGGGCCCGCACAAGCGGAGGAACAUGUGGUUUAAUUCGAUGAUACGCGAGGAACCUUACCCGGGCUUGAAAGUUAGCGACGAUUCUUGAAAGAGGAUUUCCCUUCGGGGCGCGAAACUAGGUGCUGCAUGGUUGUCGUCAGCUCGUGCCGUGAGGUGUCGGGUUAAGUCCCAUAACGAGCGCAACCCCUACCGUUAGUUGCCAUCAGGUGAAGCUGGGCACUCUGGCGGGACUGCCGGUGUAAGCCGAGAGGAAGGUGGGGAUGACGUCAAAUCAGCACGGCCCUUACGUCCGGGGCUACACACGUGUUACAAUGGUAGGUACAGAGGGCAGCUACCCAGCGAUGGGAUGCGAAUCUCGAAAGCCUAUCUCAGUUCGGAUUGGAGGCUGAAACCCGCCUCCAUGAAGUUGGAUUCGCUAGUAAUCGCGCAUCAGCCAUGGCGCGGUGAAUACGUUCCCG